This 617-nucleotide ribosomal RNA is filed under the name uncultured archaeon. Its description in RNAcentral is "bacterial SSU rRNA". It matches the Rfam family "Archaeal small subunit ribosomal RNA", at positions 149 to 768 of the family's 1478-position model. The record is from RNAcentral.
AUACCCCAUAGUUCACCACGCCUGGAACGGUGGGUGGAUGAAAGCUCCGGCGGCAUAGGAUGGGCCUGCGGCGUAUCAGGUUGUAGGGGGUGUAAUGUACCCUCUAGCCAUCUACGCGUACGGGUGUUGGGAGACAUCGCCCGGAGAUGGAUUCUGAGACACGAAUCCAGACCCUACGGGGUGCAGCAGGCGCGAAAACUUGGCAAUGCGAGAAAUCGUGACCAGGGAACUCCAAGUGCAUCGGGUAAGACCGAUGCUUUUCUUGACUCUUCAAAGGUCUUGGAAUAAGGGGUGGGUAAGGACGGUGCCAGCCGCCGCGGUAAUACCGGCGCCUCAAGUGGUAGUCGCUUUUAUUGGGCCUAAAACGUCCGUAGCCGGUUUGGUACAUUCGUGGGUAAAUCAAGGCGCUCAACGUCUUGAAUUCUGCGAGCACGGCCAGACUUGGGACCGGGUGAGGUGUGGGGUACUCUCAGGGUAGGGGUAAAAUCCUGUCAUCCUGAGAGGACCACCUGUUGCGAAGGCGCCACACUAGAACGGAUCCGACGGUCAGGGACGAAGCCUAGGGGCACGAACCGGAUUAGAUACCCGGGUAGUCCUAGGUGUAAACGCUGUGGACU